GAUGAAGAACGUAGCGAAAUGCGAUAAGUAAUGUGAAUUGCAGAAUUCAGUGAAUCAUCGAAUCUUUGAACGCACAUUGCGCCCGCCAGUAUUCUGGCGGGCAUGCCUGUUCGAGCGUCAUUUCAACCAUCAAGCCCCAGGCUUGUGUUGGGGACCUGCGGCUGCCGCAGGCCCUGAAAACCAGUGGCGGGCUCGCUGUCACACCGGGCGUAGUAGAUUUUAUCUCGCUCAGGGCGUGCUGUGGGUCCCGGCCGUUAAAAGCCUUUUUUUACCCAAGGUUGACCUCGGAUCAGGUAGGAAGACCCGCUGAACUUAAGCAUAUCAAUAAGCGGAGGA
Molecule: unclassified non-coding RNA, 336 nt
Filed under: soil metagenome
Description: partial contains 5.8S ribosomal RNA, internal transcribed spacer 2, and large subunit ribosomal RNA
Rfam family: 5.8S ribosomal RNA (bases 1-120)
Source: RNAcentral